UACGGAGGGAGCUAGCGUUGUUCGGAAUUACUGGGCGUAAAGCGUUCGUAGGCGGUUAUUCAAGUCAGAGGUGAAAGCCCGGGGCUCAACCCCGGAACGGCCUUUGAAACUAGGUAACUAGAAUCUUGGAGAGGUUAGUGGAAUUCCGAGUGUAGAGGUGAAAUUCGUAGAUAUUCGGAAGAACACCAGUGGCGAAGGCGACUAACUGGACAAGUAUUGACGCUGAGGUACGAAAGCGUGGGGAGCAAACAGG
This 253-nucleotide ribosomal RNA is filed under the name uncultured bacterium. RNAcentral describes it as "partial 16S ribosomal RNA". It matches the Rfam family "Bacterial small subunit ribosomal RNA", at positions 524 to 776 of the family's 1533-position model. The record is from RNAcentral.